GUCCUCUGCAUUGGAACGUUCAUCUCGGUUGGAUCGGGGGCGGCGACUUUGUUCUGGCUUGACCAAUGGGCGGGUGCCACCCCCUUCGCGGCACGCUUCCCCGACCUCUUCUCCAUCGCUGUCGCCCCCAUGAUCUCUGUAGAGAGGGCCCUUGUUGACUUAGGGCGCCUCGCUUUCCGGAGGCCAUUUGGGCCUCCGGAGGCCGCCGCUUGGCAGGAGCUGCUUGACUACGUCGCUCUCCACGAGCCGGUUGUGGAUGCUGGCCCGGAUGAGGUUCGGUGGUGCCUUGAGCCUUCGGGCCAAUUCUCCACCAAGUCCCACUAUCUGGCCAUCGCCCCCUCCUCCGCCCCGCUCCCCUUUGCGGUGUGGUCCAUCCGCUUGCCACUAAAAAUCCGGGUAUUCAUGUGGCAAUGGAUCCGCGGACGGAUCCCGUCUAGGGUGGAGGUUCGCAAGCGUAACAACCCUGGGUCUGGCCUCUGCCCGCUGUGUGGUACCCCCGAAGAUUCCAAUCACAUCUUCUUCUCAUGUGUGUCCGCUCAAUUCGUUUGGAGCUGCUUUAGAGAGGUGGGGGUGGUGAUUGGUGCCACACCAACUUCCCCGACCUCUUCGCCGAACUCCAGAACUCCCCCCCUGCCCUCUCGCCACAUUAGGUGGCUUGAGAUUGGGGCACUCGCGUGGACCCUCUGGACGAUCCGCAAUAAGCUUGUGAUUCAGCGCGUCCCUCUCCGACGGGCUACUGACGCUCUCUUCAAACUAUCUGGUUUCUUGCAGCUCUGGCGGCCGCUUAGCCGCCUUCGGGAUCGGGACGCCAUCUCCGUCUUCAUCGCCGACCUCCGCUCGAUGGCUGUCCGCCUAUCGCCGCCGCUCCCUCCGCCACCCUCAGAGCCUGAUUAG
Molecule: ribosomal RNA, 894 nt
Filed under: Triticum aestivum (bread wheat)
Lineage: Eukaryota; Viridiplantae; Streptophyta; Magnoliopsida; Poales; Poaceae
Description: partial small subunit ribosomal RNA
Source: RNAcentral